GAAGAGAGUUUGUGUUUACAUAUGAAGUCUAGGUUUCCUUUGUUGUGUUGAGUCUUCUCUUUGGCUCCGUCAUGGUUACUAGAGGAAGUUUCCAUUGUUUUUUCUUGCUCCAAGUGGAUGUUUAGCUUCCCCUCCAUGGUCGAAUUCCUUAGAUCUUUUUGUUGGUUUCUAGCUUGAUUCUUCUAACACCUUUGGGUUGUAGUUUUUU
RNAcentral lists this unclassified non-coding RNA (208 nucleotides) under Hevea brasiliensis (rubber tree). The record is from RNAcentral. Lineage: Eukaryota; Viridiplantae; Streptophyta; Magnoliopsida; Malpighiales; Euphorbiaceae.